GACGAACGCUGGCGGCGUGCCUAAUACAUGCAAGUCGAACGCAUUUUCUUUCACCGGAGCUUGCUACACCGAAAGAAAAUGAGUGGCGGACUGUUGAUUAACACGUGAGUAACCUGCCCAUCAGCGGGUAAUAACACUUGGAAACAGGUGCUAAUACCGCAUAAUUCCAUUUACCGCAUGUUAACUGGAUGAAAGGCGCUUUUGCUUCACUGGUGGAUGGACCCGCGGUGCAUUAGCUAGUUGGUGGGGUAACGGCCUACCAAGGCUGCGAUGCAUAGCCGACCUGCGAGGGUGAUAGGCCACACUGGGCCUGAGACACGGCCCAGAAUACUACGGGAGGCAGACGUAGGGAAUCUUCGGCAAUGGACGCAAGUCUGAACGAGCAACGCCGCGUGAGUGAAGAAGGUUUUCGGAUCGUAAACCUCUGUUGUUAGAGAAGAACAAGGAUGAGAGUGGAAAGUUAAUACACUGACGGUAUCUAACGAGAAAGCCACGGCUAACUACGUG
RNAcentral lists this ribosomal RNA (507 nucleotides) under uncultured bacterium. RNAcentral's name for it is "partial 16S ribosomal RNA". It matches the Rfam family "Bacterial small subunit ribosomal RNA", at positions 28 to 507 of the family's 1533-position model. The record is from RNAcentral.